AGCACAAAUAUCAACAUAAAAACGUUAGGUCAAGGUGUAGCCUAUGAAGAGGAAAGAAAUGGGCUACAUUUCCUUUACAAGUACAUCACGUAAACUCUUAUGAAAUUAAAAGUAUAAGGAGGAUUUAGCAGUAAGCUAUGAAUAGAGAGCCUAGCUGAAUAGGGCCAUGAAGCACGCACACACCGCCCGUCACCCUCCUCAAGCUCUAAGGAUCAACAUAAUAUAAUAUAUACCCAUUAAAUGCAAGAGGAGAUAAGUCGUAACAUGGUAAGCAUACUGGAAAGUGUGCUUGGAGUAAU
This 299-nucleotide ribosomal RNA is filed under the name Glirulus japonicus (Japanese dormouse). RNAcentral's name for it is "partial 12S ribosomal RNA". It matches the Rfam family "Bacterial small subunit ribosomal RNA", at positions 1095 to 1533 of the family's 1533-position model. The record is from RNAcentral. Lineage: Eukaryota; Metazoa; Chordata; Mammalia; Rodentia; Gliridae.